GGUGGACCAUCAACGACAAGCAGUCCCUGACCUUCCAGAACGUGGUCUUCAAUGUCAUUUAUCAGAGCGCGGCGGUCUUCAAGCUCUCACUGACGGCCUCCAACCACGUGAGCAACGUCACCGUGAACUACAACAUCACCGUGGAGCGGAUGAACAGGAUGCAGGGCCUGCGGGUCUCUACAGUGCCAGCCGUGCUGUCCCCCAAUGCCACGCUGGCACUGACGGCGGGCGUGCUGGUGGACUCGGCCGUGGAGGUGGCCUUCCUGUGGACCUUUGGGGAUGGGGAGCAGGCCCUCCACCAGUUCCAGCCUCCGUACAACGAGUCCUUCCCGGUUCCAGACCCCUCGGUGGCCCAGGUGCUGGUGGAGCACAAUGUCACCCACACCUACGCUGCCCCAGGUGCUGAUCCGCAGUGGCCGGGUGCCCAUUGUGUCCUUGGAGUGUGUGUCCUGCAAGGCACAGGCCGUGUACGAAGUGAGCCGCAGCUCCUACGUGUACCUGGAGGGCCGCUGCCUCAAUUGCAGCAGCGGCUCCAAGCGAGGG
This is a long non-coding RNA of Homo sapiens (human), 543 nucleotides long. Lineage: Eukaryota; Metazoa; Chordata; Mammalia; Primates; Hominidae. The record is from Ensembl.